Non-coding RNA from Maylandia zebra (zebra mbuna), 612 nucleotides. The record is from RefSeq and is a predicted model, not a curated record. NCBI's taxonomy places the organism in Eukaryota, Metazoa, Chordata, Actinopteri, Cichliformes, Cichlidae.
GGGGAGAGCAAACUGACAGCUGGUUUGUUUUCAUCAACAAGGGGGAUUUCAAAGUAGACGUUAAAGGCCAUCGGUACAAAAGCAAAAGAAGACGGCGAGCAGCAAUCGUGGUCAGAUUAAGGCAGACAUCGCUUCAGCUGAAGGGGAGGCUGCGCACCAGGAAGGAGCUAUGGAGCCACCAGAGGAUAACGAUGGCCGUACCUUUGUGGAGGUGAUCAGUGAAAAGUAUAGCCCAGAGAACUUCCCAUACCGCAGAGGGCCUGGUAUGGGGGUGGUAGUAGUGUCCACUGGAGGUCCUCAAGGUUCCCCUAUGAAAGGUGAGCCAAGGAGAACUAUUGGGCAACUGAAAAGGCUAACGGGUCCCUUUGUCACAUUUUAGCACUUCCAAGUGAUAACGAGCACUUUAUUCAGUGUCAUCACCACGACAGUGAACUCAUAGACCUAGUAUUAAAAAUGCUGUCAUCUCGUUUCCUUUAUGUUUUCAUGUUAAUUUAGCUAGAAACUCUGAUAACGCCUUCAGAAGAAUUUUGGCGAUGUCUGAGCUACAAACUAUAUAUAAAAGAUAGAUGCAGGCAAAGUGACUCCACAUUUAAGCUGGAAGUUACCAUUUUU